This 27-nucleotide small RNA is filed under the name Bombyx mori (domestic silkworm). RNAcentral's name for it is "ovarian small RNA-32139". Lineage: Eukaryota; Metazoa; Arthropoda; Insecta; Lepidoptera; Bombycidae. The record is from RNAcentral.
UGAGAGAAGGUCAAUACAUUGGGUACA